Mangifera indica (mango) is the source of this 1857-nucleotide long non-coding RNA. RefSeq lists it as uncharacterized. Lineage: Eukaryota; Viridiplantae; Streptophyta; Magnoliopsida; Sapindales; Anacardiaceae. The transcript is spliced from 3 exons. The record is from RefSeq and is a predicted model, not a curated record.
ACGGAUUAUGAAACUUGGACCAGUAAUAGUUAUCAUUUAAUAUCAUAGAUCAUAGGCUGGUGGGACAACCUGAAGCAAGAAGAGAAGAACAAUGUGAAUGUCAUCUUUUCUUUUCAUUAUUUCAUCUCUUUAAUUAUCAUGUGAAGUCUCUGCUGGCAGUUUAUUACAAAUAUAAUUAUUGUUGCAGGUGCUGAAAUCUCUUUUUUUAAUUUAAAAAAGAUGAUAUCCCUUGGGCACUCAUCCAAGCUGAUGUAUCUUCCGUGGCCCAAACUGCAGUCAUACCCAUACAAGAUAUACUUCGGUUUGGGAAUGUUGUGCAGAUGAACAUUCCGGCAACUCUGAUCUGUUUUGAUUAGAUUGGGAGAAAAAAUCCACUUGAAAUUUUCCUGGUCCAGUUAAGAAUUUAAGCAUGGCUUAAUAGUGUUUGAGUGCCUGACUAAUAAUCUCUUAAUGCAAGGGCUUCAAGAGAAUACAGUUCAUGUGCUUGACUAAUAAUCUCUCAGAGCCAUGAGUUUUGAGGAACUGGAACACGCAGCCCAUCUGAUAAGAUUCUGUUGCUGGUCUUUGCUAAGCUGUUGUUUGCCUCUGUUGAUAAAUCUCUGAAGAAAGGGGGAAAUAGAAAAUUCAAGGUUUAUGAGGAGAUCCUGAUUCUUAUCUGAUGAAAGCUCGGUCUUAAGUAAAGGGUAGUGAACCUGAAGAGUGAGAAGAUUGGCAGAUUGACCGACGGCUUAUUCAUAUUGCAGGCCUCCUGCAGCAAGUCCAGCCAUUGCUACAUCUGCCAACCUGGAAGAAGUCACAACAGUUCAACAGCUAUAAGGUAAGGAUCCAACGCUUAUAUAAGUAGGGUGGAUCAAAACAGAUAACCAACAGACCCCAAGGAAUUGACCCGAAAACUUAAGUUGCUCACAUUGAUUGAGGUAUGAAUUGAACAAAAUCAUAGUUCAAAGAUCAUUUUUAGAAUAGCAUUGAAGUAGCAAAAGCAAUCAAAUGGGUACCUGUCAAGUUCUUAGCAUCAAGAUGCCCGCUAUAUAUCAGUUUCUCCAGCCUUUCAUCAAUGAGAUUGACAUUCUCUUUCACCAUCCACUGAAUAACCCAAAAUAAGAAGGCCAAAGAAAUAGGCAACUACCAUUGAAAGAGAACAUCAUCUAGUUAGGAAGCAACCAAAUGAUACAUAUCAUCAUAUUUUGAUGCAUUGUCAAAGUAAUGAGUACUUAAGAAAUGUGCCGCCACAUGUUUGGCUACCCUCUCCAGAUAGUCCCCCAAAAAACGACGAAAACCCUUGAAUUGCAGCUUGUAGAAGGCUGCCAGAAAAUUGACAGAACUCAGAAAUUCCAACAUCAAAUAUAAGAGUCUAGGACACUAUUAACGAAAUGCUACUGCGUAGCUUCGGUACGAAGAGCCCCCAGUCCUAUACAGACAGUUGAACAGGUGAAUAAAGAUGAGAAAUCUUCCCAAAUUUCUAAUAUAUGUUACCUCACUAGUUUUCUGAGGAGGAAUUAUCAGGUUUUCUGAAGAAGAGAAAAAAAAAUGGAAGCUACCCCUGGAAGUUGACCAGCAAGAAGACCCAAAAUCCUGUUGUUCCCACCACUGUGAAGAGAUAAGCUGCCUGUAUUACCGAAAGCCAUCAAACAUAUGAACAGCCCUCUGAUAGUUCAGAGGUAUAUUUCAAUCAAAACGAAGAAAGUGCCGCAUAAAUUUAUGCGAAUUUAUUGUACAUGCAUCAUUUCUGACGCUAGGAAUAGUCGAGAUUUUCUGCAUUUAUCAUUCCAAGAGAUGUAUGGUUAAUGAGAAAUUAAUGAGUCAAACAACCUAUUUGUUAAACAUUUCGACACAGAACUACGAUAUAUGUUCAAAGCA